This 65-nucleotide ribosomal RNA is filed under the name Azoarcus indigens. The record is from RNAcentral. Lineage: Bacteria; Pseudomonadati; Pseudomonadota; Betaproteobacteria; Rhodocyclales; Zoogloeaceae.
CCGUGAAACAAGACCGCGCCGAUGAUAGUGAGAUGCGCUCUCGUGAAAGUAGGUCAUCGUCAGAC